This 429-nucleotide ribosomal RNA is filed under the name Actinomycetes bacterium. Its description in RNAcentral is "Actinobacteria bacterium partial 16S ribosomal RNA". It matches the Rfam family "Bacterial small subunit ribosomal RNA", at positions 355 to 776 of the family's 1533-position model. The record is from RNAcentral. Lineage: Bacteria; Bacillati; Actinomycetota; Actinomycetes.
UAGGGAAUCUUCCGCAAUGGGCGAAAGCCUGACGGAGCAACGCCGCGUGAGUGAUGAAGGUCUUCGGAUCGUAAAACUCUGUUAUUAGGGACGAACAAAUGUGUAAGUAACUAUGCACGUCUUGACGGUACCUAAUCAGAAAGCCACGGCUAACUACGUGCCAGCAGCCGCGGUAAUACGUAGGUGGCAAGCGUUAUCCGGAAUUAUUGGGCGUAAAGCGCGCGUAGGCGGUUUUUUAAGUCUGAUGUGAAAGCCCACGGCUCAACCGUGGAGAGUCAUUGGAAACUGGAAAACUUGAGUGCAGAAGAGGAAAGUGGAAUUCCAUGUGUAGCGGUGAAAUGCGCAUAGAUAUUGAGGAACACCAGUGGCGAAGGCGACUUUCUGGUCUGUAACUGACGCUGAUGUGCGAAAGCGUUGGGAUCAAACAGG